UGGGGAAUAUUGGACAAUGGGCGAAAGCCUGAUCCAGCCAUGCCGCGUGUGUGAAGAAGGUCUUCGGAUUGUAAAGCACUUUAAGUUGGGAGGAAGGGCAUUAACCUAAUACGUUAGUGUUUUGACGUUACCGACAGAAUAAGCACCGGCUAACUCUGUGCCAGCAGCCGCGGUAAUAAAGCGGGUGCAAGCGUUAAUCGGAAUUACUGGGCGUAAAGCGCGCGUAGGUGGUUUGUUAAGUUGGAUGUGAAAUCCCCGGGCUCAACCUGGGAACUGCAUUCAAAACUGACUGACUAGAGUAUGGUAGAGGGUGGUGGAAUUUCCUGUGUAGCGGUGAAAUGCGUAGAUAUAGGAAGGAACACCAGUGGCGAAGGCGACCACCUGGACUAAUACUGACACUGAGGUGCGAAAGCGUGGGGAGCAAACA
Molecule: ribosomal RNA, 427 nt
Filed under: uncultured bacterium
Lineage: Bacteria
Description: partial 16S ribosomal RNA
Rfam family: Bacterial small subunit ribosomal RNA
Source: RNAcentral